RNA transcript from Arabidopsis lyrata subsp. lyrata, 1154 nucleotides. It is a transcript of the gene named leukocyte receptor cluster member 1 homolog, with no coding region annotated. NCBI's taxonomy places the organism in Eukaryota, Viridiplantae, Streptophyta, Magnoliopsida, Brassicales, Brassicaceae. The record is from RefSeq and is a predicted model, not a curated record. The transcript has 3 exons.
AUUCCGAUCAAGUUUUUAUUUUCCAAAUCGCUUCGAAGUUCUCUCAUCCAUCUCUUGGUUCGAUUCAAUCUCAUCCUUUGAAAACCCUAAUUUUGUUUGGAAAGAUUAAGCUAUGGGAGGUCACGGUGGUUUGAAUAUUCUUCCACAGAAGCGGUGGAAUGUUUACAACUUCGACAAUCGAGAAAAAGUCCGAAAGGACGAAGAAGCUGCCGCUAGAGAAGAGCAGAUCAAACGCGAGGAAGCUAGAAAACGAGAUGCUGAAUCUCGUCUCGAAGUGCUUCGUAACGUCCGUGGCUUGGCACCUCUGAAACGAGCUUCUCCGGAGGCAGAGAAGGGUAAGGAUGAAGCAGUGGUGGUGGCGGCGGCUGUUGUUAAAUCCACUGCUGUUGUUGUGGAGAGUGUUGAACCGGAGGAGCCUAAGACGGGUCAUAUAAAUCUAUUUGAAGGGAUUAGGAUAUUUGAUCCGAUUGAGAUUCCGAAGAAUGAUAAGCCUGCGGAGGAGGAAGAUCAGAGAAGGAAGAAGAUGAGGAAAGAAGCUGCUGCAACGGCGAGAGCUUCUGCGAAAGAUGCUGCAGCGAGAGCUGGUGAUCCUGAUGAGGAGAAGUAUAGAUUGGGAUAUGGGGUUGCUGGUAAAGGUGUGAAGCGUCCUUGGUAUCUUGAGAAACGGAACGGUGAUGAUGAUUGUGUUCGUGGUGAGGAUGAUGAUGGUGGAUAUAGAGGUGACGAAGCUAAGAAGAAGAAGAUGAGUGGGAAGAAGAGCUUGAAGGAGUUGAGAGAAGAAAGGUUGAAGAGGGAGAGGGUUGAGAAGGAAAGAGAGAGAGCUCUUUUCAUGAAACAGAGCCAGAGAGACGGUGGUUUUUCCCGGGGGCGGUGAUCAAAUCACAAGGAUGACAAAGAAGAUGAAAGAAGACUUGAUGCAGAGAUCCAAAGACGGUGAUUAAAUCUUAAGGAUGACAAAGAUGACUUGAUCUAGAUAUUCAAAGGUGAUUCCACGUCUGAGAAGCCCCUUUUGUCAUAUAUGUGUGUAGAGAUUCAUCACUGUUGUUGGCGUUGCCUUACUCUAAAGCAGAUCUAUUGGGCCUUUAAUUAUUAAAAUAUCACUUAAUGGGCUCAAUGGGCCUUAAAGUUAAAAAUAAAUAUCAAUAAUUAGACGA